UCGGGCGGGUAGCAUUUAUUAGAUUGAAACCAAUGCAGUCUUCGCGCGUUGUGUAUUGUGUUGAGUCAUAAUAACUGUGCGGAUCGCGCUUUUGCGCGAUAAAUCGAUUGAGUUUCUGCCCUAUCAG
Ribosomal RNA from Phytophthora infestans T30-4, 127 nucleotides. The record is from RefSeq and is a predicted model, not a curated record. Lineage: Eukaryota; Oomycota; Peronosporomycetes; Peronosporales; Peronosporaceae.